AGGUGACUAUUUUGAAUUUCAGGUGCACGAAUUUUCUUGCACUUCACAUCCACAUUGUAUCUUGUUUAUGAGGGAAAGUUAAUGGUGAAGUGCAAAUAGAAAAAUUACAGCCUUAAAACCUUCUAUGGAUUUUGUUCUUCCUCUAGCAACUGAGUUUACUGAAGUUGCAAUUUGACUAAUUGCAUGCAGGUCAAAAUCUGCAAUGGGAAA
This 210-nucleotide unclassified non-coding RNA is filed under the name Hevea brasiliensis (rubber tree). Lineage: Eukaryota; Viridiplantae; Streptophyta; Magnoliopsida; Malpighiales; Euphorbiaceae. The record is from RNAcentral.